This is a long non-coding RNA of Pyrgilauda ruficollis (rufous-necked snowfinch), 389 nucleotides long. RefSeq lists it as uncharacterized. NCBI's taxonomy places the organism in Eukaryota, Metazoa, Chordata, Aves, Passeriformes, Passeridae. The transcript has 3 exons. The record is from RefSeq and is a predicted model, not a curated record.
GGACCCGGAAGUUGCCGCUCCUGGAGGGGCCGGCCCGCGGCUCCUGCGCCGGCGGCCGCAAGGGGGCGCUGUUGGCGCUGGCGGCGCUCGCGCGCGGCUGCGGCGCCGCCUUGCGGCAGCGGUACCUGGGGGCGGUGCUGGGGGCCCUGCGGGCCGGGCUGGGAGACCCCGAGGGCGCGGUCAGGGGGGCGGCGGCCGCGGCGCUGAGAGAGCUCCGGGAGGAACUGCAGCCCGAGGUGGCGCAGCUGGCGGCCGAGGCCCUGCCCAGGAUUUUGGGGGAAUUUUGGGAUUCCCAAAAUUCCCCAAAUUCCCCAAAUUCCGACCCCAAAUCCUGGUUCGUGCUGGAGACGCUGCUGGAGGCGCUGGGUGAGGAAAUUUGGGGCAAAAAU